AUCUCCUAGAGGGAUGCUCUUCUUCUGCGCAGACGCGGUCCCUGUGGUUCCUAUGGGCAAUCCCCAUGACAUCUGCCGUGAUCACCACGCCCAUCUUAGAGUGAGGAGCUGCCCCCUACUCAGCUGUGUAUCAUCUCACUCUGAUUGAGGGCAGCUUAUUAGUGAGCCGCACAGCUGAUGUGUCAGCGUGAGCUCUGCCAGAGGAAUCAUUCCUCGGUAUACUGAGGCAACAGCAGGUCAUAGUAUCUGGACUAUACAGAUCUCCUGGGCAAUUUAUCUGCCCUAUUCCCGGCAGUUAUUAUUGCAACUAGAAUCAGUAUAGUAUUGACAGAAAUCUCUUGGGAUGAAUUAUAUCCAUCUCUUCUGAGACUACCUCAUCAUCAACCUUCCCAUUUUUUCUAUCAUCAUUUUAAUCAGUACCUGCUUGCCUCCGGCUCCUCUUCCUCUAUAGGCUUGCAUCCAGGCUCUGUGCAUUGCACGG
Molecule: long non-coding RNA, 481 nt
Organism: Rana temporaria (common frog)
Lineage: Eukaryota; Metazoa; Chordata; Amphibia; Anura; Ranidae
Exons: 4
Source: RefSeq, a predicted model, not a curated record